CUUGGUCAUUUAGAGGAAGUAAAAGUCGUAACAAGGUCUCCGUAGGUGAACCUGCGGAGGGAUCAUUACAAGUGACCCCGGUCUAACCACCGGGAUGUUCAUAACCCUUUGUUGUCCGACUCUGUUGCCUCCGGGGCGACCCUGCCUUCGGGCGGGGGCUCCGGGUGGACACUUCAAACUCUUGCGUAACUUUGCAGUCUGAGUAAACUUAAUUAAUAAAUUAAAACUUUUAACAACGGAUCUCUUGGUUCUGGCAUCGAUGAAGAACGCAGCGAAAUGCGAUAAGUAACGUGAAUUGCAGAAUUCAGUGAAUCAUCGAAUCUUUGAACGCACAUUGCGCCCCCUGGUAUUCCGGGGGGCAUGCCUGUUCGAGCGUCAUUUCACCACUCAAGCCUCGCUUGGUAUUGGGCGUCGCGGUCCGCCGCGUGCCUCAAAUCGACCGGCUGGGUCUUCUGUCCCCUAAGCGUUGUGGAAACUAUUCGCUAAAGGGUGUUCGGGAGGCUACGCCGUAAAACAACCCCAUUUCUAAGGUUGACCUCGGAUCAGGUAGGGAUACCCGCUGAACUUAAGCAUAUCAAUAAGCGGAG
RNAcentral lists this ribosomal RNA (587 nucleotides) under uncultured fungus. RNAcentral's name for it is "eukaryotic LSU rRNA". The stretch from base 225 to 378 matches the Rfam family "5.8S ribosomal RNA". Lineage: Eukaryota; Fungi. The record is from RNAcentral.